RNAcentral lists this unclassified non-coding RNA (513 nucleotides) under Fusarium oxysporum. RNAcentral describes it as "sequence contains ITS1, 5.8S rRNA gene, ITS2". The stretch from base 166 to 319 matches the Rfam family "5.8S ribosomal RNA". The record is from RNAcentral. Lineage: Eukaryota; Fungi; Ascomycota; Sordariomycetes; Hypocreales; Nectriaceae.
CUGCGGAGGGAUCAUUACCGAGUUUACAACUCCCAAACCCCUGUGAACAUACCACUUGUUGCCUCGGCGGAUCAGCCCGCUCCCGGUAAAACGGGACGGCCCGCCAGAGGACCCCUAAACUCUGUUUCUAUAUGUAACUUCUGAGUAAAACCAUAAAUAAAUCAAAACUUUCAACAACGGAUCUCUUGGUUCUGGCAUCGAUGAAGAACGCAGCAAAAUGCGAUAAGUAAUGUGAAUUGCAGAAUUCAGUGAAUCAUCGAAUCUUUGAACGCACAUUGCGCCCGCCAGUAUUCUGGCGGGCAUGCCUGUUCGAGCGUCAUUUCAACCCUCAAGCACAGCUUGGUGUUGGGACUCGCGUUAAUUCGCGUUCCCCAAAUUGAUUGGCGGUCACGUCGAGCUUCCAUAGCGUAGUAGUAAAACCCUCGUUACUGGUAAUCGUCGCGGCCACGCCGUUAAACCCCAACUUCUGAAUGUUGACCUCGGAUCAGGUAGGAAUACCCGCUGAACUUAAGC